GUAGGUGGCAAGCGUUGUCCGGAAUUAUUGGGCGUAAGCGCGCGCAGGCGGUUCUUUAAGUCUGAUGUGAAAGCCCACGGCUCAACCGUGGAGGGUCAUUGGAAACUGGAGAACUUGAGUACAGAAGAGGAAAGCGGAAUUCCACGUGUAGCGGUGAAAUGCGUAGAGACGUGGAGGAACACCAGUGGCGAAGGCGGCUUUCUGGUCUGUAACUGACGCUGAGGCGCGAAAGCGUGGGGAGCAAACAGGGAUUAGAUACCCUGGUAGUCCACGCCGUAAACGAUGAGUGCUAAGUGUUAGGGGGUUUCCGCCCCCUUAGUGCUGCAGCUAACGCAUUAAGCACUCCGCCUGGGGAGUACGGCCGCAAGGCUG
RNAcentral lists this ribosomal RNA (372 nucleotides) under uncultured organism. RNAcentral describes it as "partial 16S ribosomal RNA". It matches the Rfam family "Bacterial small subunit ribosomal RNA", at positions 527 to 896 of the family's 1533-position model. The record is from RNAcentral.